CCCAGCCACGGCCCUGAUCCGGAGCCUCUGUUACCUGGGGCAGCAGAAGGGAAUGAGAAGACAGCUGUAAAUCAUGUCCGGCCUGCUGAUGACAUUCUCCUCUCUUAGCUAAAGGACUGAGGAUGGCUUUUCUGUACCAGCCUGGGCCUGCUGAGCUGACCGUGUUUGAAGGGCCAGUCGUGGGCUAAGCUAGGCAAGCUGAGAUCAGUCCUGCAGGAACCUGAGGUCAUCACAGGAUGUGAAGACAGAGGUCAGGAGCUUGUGGGACCAGGAAUGCGCGAGGAGAUCGAAAUGACCUUGAUAGCUACAAGUGGAGAUGGGUCUUUGAGCUAUCAGAUGGAAGGCUGUCUCGCAGACCUAUGCUGGAUUUUACAUAAAUAAGAAAUGUAAGUGUAACUUUGUUGUGCUAAGUCACUGAGAUUUUUGGGUUUGUUUGUUAUUACAGCAUAGCUUAACACUGCUCUGACUAAUGCCAUAUACAAAGCUUAAACACGUGUGGGGGUUCAUUUCUUCAUCUGCCGGCACCCAAGAAGAAUUGCUUUCCUAAAAACUUAAAAUGUAUAUAAAUUAUAUGUACUUAUUAUGGAAAAUUAUGAAAUACAAAUAAACAAAAAAGAAAGUAAAAAUCAUCUAUAAUCCUCUUGGUCAGAGUUAUCUACUGCUAACAUUUUGGUGUCCAGACAUCAUGUUUUUUCUAUGUAUAUAGAAAUAUAAAUUUAUGUAUAUAUGCACAUAAACU
This 739-nucleotide long non-coding RNA is filed under the name Macaca mulatta (Rhesus monkey). Its description in RNAcentral is "lncRNA (ENSMMUG00000057813.1)". Lineage: Eukaryota; Metazoa; Chordata; Mammalia; Primates; Cercopithecidae. The record is from RNAcentral.